AACACAACCAUUUUAUUUUUUGUUAACCGACACUGAAAUUCCAAAAGAAGACGGAGAAAGGGACACAAAAAGGAGAAGAAGAACCGCUAGAACCGGAGCCCCGACAAUGGCGAGAAACGCAAGACAACUACCAUUACCGGCGACCACCGGAACAACAACAACAACAACAAUAACCCUAACCCUAAACAACUCAUCAGAAUCCUCCUCGUCCUCCUCAUCGUCUGAACAGCAGCAGCAACAUCCAACAGAAACACUAACUCUGAAACUGAAACCGAAGAAGAAGAGCGUUUCAUGGAAGCAAGGUACUGUCGACAACGAGUUCCUCAACAAGAAGAGCUCUAAGAUUUGCUGUAUAUUUCACAAGGAAAAGCCUUUUGAUGAGGAUGACAGCGAUGACGAUGAAAAUGAAAACCAAUCAAAUAAGAAGGAUCACCAUUGUUGUAAAUCGGAGGAUCGCGGUGAAGCCAGUAUCAGCAAUUGCGAAGAUAAUUGAUCGCCUUUGGAUUUCCUGGAACAAAAAUCAAGAAGAACAGCAGAAUGCAUUGAAGUCAAUUGCUCAAAUACAUCAUUGGGUUCUUUGGGAAUAGAAACAGAAGAUGUUCUGAAGGAAAAGAGUUGCAGUAUCGAUCACCUCUGAGAUAUAUUUUUUUCCUCUCUUAUCUUAGUGGUGUGAAAAUGCACUUGAAAUUGACAUAGAUCACAUGAGAAUAUAUCAAUUCCCUGCAUAGUUGAGCAGGAAUCCCUUUUGUACUUGCACAUACUUUGGUGCUGUAACAUAUCAAAGGCAUCUGGACAUAUCCUACACAUACUUUGUGGGCAAACAAAUUAUGCCCCUUAACUUGCAAGUUAUGUAGAUAAAAUCCCCUAAAAGCUCACGUGA
This is a long non-coding RNA of Nicotiana attenuata, 880 nucleotides long. RefSeq lists it as uncharacterized. The record is from RefSeq and is a predicted model, not a curated record. The transcript has 2 exons. NCBI's taxonomy places the organism in Eukaryota, Viridiplantae, Streptophyta, Magnoliopsida, Solanales, Solanaceae.